GGCACAAGGUAAUCAAUCAAUAGGUCCCUUUCGUUUGGUUUCUGUGAAAUAUUCUUCCAGUGAUCGAUCACAUCUCAUGAUGAAGUUCUUAAACUUUCAUUCUGUCAGUCCCUAUAUAUACAUACAUCAUGAUGAUGGUUAAACUUCAAUUUGGAGUAAUAAUACUUAUGUUACGUUACCUCAAUAGGCUUUUUUUCAUCGGAGUGGAGGAAGAAUGCGU
RNAcentral lists this unclassified non-coding RNA (220 nucleotides) under Hevea brasiliensis (rubber tree). Lineage: Eukaryota; Viridiplantae; Streptophyta; Magnoliopsida; Malpighiales; Euphorbiaceae. The record is from RNAcentral.